RNAcentral lists this ribosomal RNA (484 nucleotides) under uncultured bacterium. Its description in RNAcentral is "partial 16S ribosomal RNA". It matches the Rfam family "Bacterial small subunit ribosomal RNA", at positions 30 to 507 of the family's 1533-position model. The record is from RNAcentral.
AUUGAACGCUGGCGGCAGGCCUAACACAUGCAAGUCGAGCGGAUGAAGGGAGCUUGCUCCUGGAUUCAGCGGCGGACGGGUGAGUAAUGCCUAGGAAUCUGCCUGGUAGUGGGGGAUAACGUCCGGAAACGGGCGCUAAUACCGCAUACGUCCUGAGGGAGAAAGUGGGGGAUCUUCGGACCUCACGCUAUCAGAUGAGCCUAGGUCGGAUUAGCUAGUUGGUGGGGUAAAGGCCUACCAAGGCGACGAUCCGUAACUGGUCUGAGAGGAUGAUCAGUCACACUGGAACUGAGACACGGUCCAGACUCCUACGGGAGGCAGCAGUGGGGAAUAUUGGACAAUGGGCGAAGGCCUGAUCCAGCCAUGCCGCGUGUGUGAAGAAGGUCUUCGGAUUGUAAAGCACUUUAAGUUGGGAGGAAGGGCAGUAAGUAAAUACCUUGCUGUUUUGACGUUACCAACAGAAUAAGCACCGGCUAACUUCGUG